Molecule: non-coding RNA, 74 nt
Organism: Ameiurus melas (black bullhead)
Lineage: Eukaryota; Metazoa; Chordata; Actinopteri; Siluriformes; Ictaluridae
Source: the annotation of a GenBank genome assembly
GGCAGUGGUGGCCCAAUAGUUAAGGCGCUAGGUUACUGAUCCGAAGGUCAGGGGUUCAAGCCUCAGCACUGCCA